UCACCCCUUUUCUUCUUCGAUGCCUUCCUGUAUCUUCGGCCGUACGUAAGGGACCCUUGUGCGCUUUCCAAGUAUGAUACGAAGAAAGCCAACCUCACCGCAGCAUAAAGAGGUACGCGUGCGCGUGAAGAAGAGCAAGCCAAAGCCACAUAAGUCCACGGCUGCAUACUCAAGCUCUGCAGGGAAGAGCGUCGGAAAGGCAGCAGGGACUGAGAAACGCCCCUGUGGCACGGCUCCAGUAGGUGAAGCAGCUGAUACCAGGGAUGCCGUAAGCGCUGUGUGGAGUGCGAGCGCUGCAAAACACGGCUGGGAGCCGCAGCACACAAAGGUACAUUGCCGAAGAGGCACGGCUGGCAUGCCGUUUGAUCGCUACGACCUGGCGGGCACCGCGAAUAUCAACGAGCUCGUCCUCCGACACGGCACCAUGAAGACGUCUGAUCUCAAAACUACUCGGCACCCAGCUCUGUACCAGCGAGUGGGACGGCCGCACGAUUGCUCCUCCUCGCCCUUCAUGCUGGACCGCUACCUUUCCAACCUCGUGCGCGCGCUUGUUCACCCCUUGCACAACUAUCUUCAGUGUCAUCACAGCCUGCACAAUGCAGACGAAGUGCAGGUGAUGCUCAUGCCGAAGGAUGGGCCGAUAGCUCUUGCCGACAGGGCAGCCGUGCCGUCCUGCUCCUCAUCGUCCCAUGGAGGCAGCGGCGCUCUAAGGCGCUGCUACGUUGCCACGAACAACGAAACGCUCACGCAAGAGAGUCUCCAGGCAGCCGUCGCUGAUUGGGGUGUCGCAGGGGUGUUUCAGAUUGGUGAGUUCGUGCUGGUGACUGGGGAGAAGGGCUGCCACGCGGAGAAGAAGCUGCUCGAGCACUUAAAAACCCAAGUGCUCUCCCACGCCGCCCCUCCGGUUCUUCCCACGGCAGACCAGAAGGCGCUUAUUGUUGGCGAGCGACUCCCAUGCGUCGCGUGCCGGCUCUUCGCGAUCGCAUUUGAAUCUGUUGCAGUGCUGCUCCCGUCCCACGGGCACCUUUACCUCUCCACCAUCGCCGCCGGCGUCGAGACACACGCGGCAGCCAAGAGUGGAAAGACAAAGGACAUUAAUGCCAUGUUCGCCAGCCCGGCGGAGGCGGCGGCGCUCCUCCUGGCACCAAAACACCGAAGAGUACUUCGGUAGAAAAAAGGAUACCGGCCAGCCGCCGGCGCUGCCCCCGCGGCCAAAAAAAAACGCGCUGGGCCUCACCGACAUGCCCCCCGCCCUGGCGGCGCGCCACCCUCGGCGGCCCGCCAAACGGGCCCCGCGAAGCCGGGACAACCCCCGCAAGCGGCACUCAGCCCAGGGAGAAACAAAGCCGCCAAGGCCCCGGGGCGCGAAGCAGACGGAGGAUAGGAGAAAGUGGAGGAAGGGCCGGGGAGCCAAGCACGCCACCUGCGCAACACGCGGCGAGCCACCCCUGCGCGGCCGCCCUUUUGUUUUGGCGCCCCGAAUAAAGGGCGCAGAGCAACUGUUUUUUUUUUGUUUUU
Molecule: unclassified non-coding RNA, 1518 nt
Filed under: Leishmania donovani
Lineage: Eukaryota; Euglenozoa; Kinetoplastea; Trypanosomatida; Trypanosomatidae
Description: gene:LdHU3.33.2750(CDS-product:OTT_1508-like_deam inase_putative)
Source: RNAcentral